UGCCUCAGUAACGGCGAGUGAAGCGGCAAGAGCUCAAAUUUGAAAUCUGGCCUCUUUGGGGUCCGAGUUGUAAUUUGCAGAGGAUGCUUCGGGAGUGGUCCCCAUCUAAGUGCCCUGGAACGGGACGUCAUAGAGGGUGAGAAUCCCGUAUGGGAUGGGUGGCCGCGCCCGUGUGAAGCGCCUUCGACGAGUCGAGUUGUUUGGGAAUGCAGCUCUAAGCGGGUGGUAAAUUUCAUCUAAAGCUAAAUAUUGGCCGGAGACCGAUAGCGCACAAGUAGAGUGAUCGAAAGAUGAAAAGCACUUUGAAAAGAGAGUUAAAUAGCACGUGAAAUUGUUGAAAGGGAAGCGUUGUCCACCAGACUCGCCCGGGAGGGUUCAGCUGGCACUUGUGCCGGUGUACUCCCUUUCGGGCGGGCCAGCAUCGGUUUGGGCGGCCGCUAAAAGGCCUCGGGAAUGUAGCACCCUCCGGGGUGCCUUAUAGCCCGGGGUGACAUGCGACCUGCCUGGACCGAGGUUCGCGCUUCGGCGAGGAUGCUGGCGUAAUGGUGGUCAACGG
This 556-nucleotide ribosomal RNA is filed under the name Talaromyces cecidicola. Its description in RNAcentral is "LSU rRNA". It matches the Rfam family "Eukaryotic large subunit ribosomal RNA", at positions 76 to 647 of the family's 3401-position model. The record is from RNAcentral. Lineage: Eukaryota; Fungi; Ascomycota; Eurotiomycetes; Eurotiales; Trichocomaceae.